GGAGAGGUGGCCGAGCGGCUGAAGGCAACCGCCUGCUAAGCGGUUAACUUGGGAAACCGGGUUCCAGGGUUCGAAUCCCUGCCUCUCCGCCA
Molecule: transfer RNA, 92 nt
Filed under: Nitrospiraceae bacterium
Lineage: Bacteria; Pseudomonadati; Nitrospirota; Nitrospiria; Nitrospirales; Nitrospiraceae
Also listed under: 1 other name
Description: tRNA-Ser
Rfam family: tRNA
About the family: Transfer RNA (tRNA) molecules are approximately 80 nucleotides in length. Their secondary structure includes four short double-helical elements and three loops (D, anti-codon, and T loops). Further hydrogen bonds mediate the characteristic L-shaped molecular structure. tRNAs have two regions of fundamental functional importance: the anti-codon, which is responsible for specific mRNA codon recognition, and the 3' end, to which the tRNAs corresponding amino acid is attached (by aminoacyl-tRNA synthetases). tRNAs cope with the degeneracy of the genetic code in two manners: having more than one tRNA (with a specific anti-codon) for a particular amino acid; and 'wobble' base-pairing, i.e. permitting non-standard base-pairing at the 3rd anti-codon position.
Source: RNAcentral